Molecule: non-coding RNA, 143 nt
Organism: Leptonychotes weddellii (Weddell seal)
Lineage: Eukaryota; Metazoa; Chordata; Mammalia; Carnivora; Phocidae
Source: RefSeq, a predicted model, not a curated record
UGUUUUCUUCUGUGGCAGUAUCGUAGCCAAUGAGGUUUAUCCGAGGCGCGAUUAUUGCUAGUUGAUCCAUUUCUAGAAGUAGAAUUGACCCAGUAGUACCUGGGUCAAAAGGUAUGAAUAUUUUUUUGACUCUUAUAUAUUAU